RNAcentral lists this ribosomal RNA (164 nucleotides) under uncultured bacterium. RNAcentral's name for it is "partial 16S rRNA". It matches the Rfam family "Bacterial small subunit ribosomal RNA", at positions 355 to 511 of the family's 1533-position model. The record is from RNAcentral.
UAGGGAAUCUUCGGCAAUGGACGAAAGUCUGACCGAGCAACGCCGCGUGUGUGAAGAAGGUUUUCGGAUCGUAAACUCUGUUGGUAGAGAAGAGCGUUGGUGAGAGUGGAAAGCUCAUCAAGUGACGGUAACUACCCAGAAAGGGACGGCUAACUACGUGCCAC